This 914-nucleotide ribosomal RNA is filed under the name uncultured archaeon. RNAcentral's name for it is "bacterial SSU rRNA". It matches the Rfam family "Archaeal small subunit ribosomal RNA", at positions 1 to 921 of the family's 1478-position model. The record is from RNAcentral.
UUCCGGUUGAUCCUGCCGGACCUGACUGCUAUCGGAUUAAUACUAAGCCAUGCGAGUUUUUGUAGUAAUACAAGGCAUACGGCUCAGUAACACGUAGUCAACCUACCCUAUGGACGAGGAUAAUCUCGGGAAACUGAGCAUAAUACUCGAUAGAUCAUAAUGCCUGGAAUGGUUUAUGGUUGAAAUGAUUCGUUCGCCAUAGGAUGGGACUGCGGCCUAUCAGCUUGUUGGUGAGGUAAUGGCCCACCAAGGCGAUUACAGGUACGGGCUCUGAGAGGAGAAGCCCGGAGAUGGGUACUGAGACACGGACCCAGGCCCUAUGGGGCGCAGCAGGCGAGAAAACUUUGCAAUGUGCGAAAGCACGACAAGGUUAGUCCGAGUGAUUUCUGCUAAAGAGAUCUUUUGCAAGUUCUAAAACCACUAGUGAAUAAGGGGUGGGCAAGUUCUGGUGUCAGCCGCCGCGGUAAAACCAGCACCUCGAGUGGUCAGGAGGAUUAUUGGGCCUAAAGCAUCCGUAGCCGGCUCUGUAAGUUUUCGGUUAAAUCCAUGCGCUCAACGCAUGGGCUGCCGAAAAUACUGCAGAGCUAGGGAGUGGGAGAGGUAGACGGUACUCGGUAGGAAGGGGUAAAAUCCUUUGAUCUAUCGAUGACCACCUGUGGCGAAGGCGGUCUACCAGAACACGUUCGACGGUGAGGGAUGAAAGCUGGGGGAGCAAACCGGAUUAGAUACCCGGGUAGUCCCAGCUGUAAACGAUGCAGACUCGAUGAUGCAUUGGCAUAUAGCCAGUGCAGUGUCGCAGGGAAGCCGUUAAGUCUGCCGCCUGGGAAGUACGUACGCAAGUAUGAAACUUAAAGGAAUUGGCGGGGGAGCACCACAAGGGGUGAAGCCUGCGGUUCAAUUGGAGUCAACGCCGG